GACGAACGCUGGCGGCGUGCUUAACACAUGCAAGUCGAGCGGUAAGGCCCUUUCGGGGGUACACGAGCGGCGAACGGGUGAGUAACACGUGGGUGACCUGCCCUUAGCUCUGGGAUAAGCCUGGGAAACUGGGUCUAAUACCGGAUAUGACUCCAUGACGCAUGUUGUGGGGUGGAAAGCCUUGUGCGGCUAGGGAUGGGCCCACGGCCUAUCAGCUUGUUGGUGGGGUGANGGCCUACCAAGGCGACGACGGGUAGCCGGCCUGAGAGGGCGACCGGCCACACUGGGACUGAGACACGGCCCAGACUCCUACGGGAGGCAGCAGUGGGGAAUCUUGCGCAAUGGGCGAAAGCCUGACGCA
This 361-nucleotide ribosomal RNA is filed under the name uncultured bacterium. RNAcentral describes it as "bacterial SSU rRNA". It matches the Rfam family "Bacterial small subunit ribosomal RNA", at positions 28 to 390 of the family's 1533-position model. The record is from RNAcentral.